Molecule: long non-coding RNA, 379 nt
Filed under: Physcomitrium patens
Lineage: Eukaryota; Viridiplantae; Streptophyta; Bryopsida; Funariales; Funariaceae
Description: long non-coding RNA (PPAT_LNC005213)
Source: RNAcentral
GUCUCUUCCUUACAGCAAUUCAGUCAUAUCAAUAACUACUAUUUCCACCAAUAUAUUCAUCCUCAUAAUCUCCAACUGUAAUACUGUGCCCUCACAGCUUUUAGCACACAAUUACCCUCGUUCCAAUCUCUGGAAUUCUUCACACAGAACUGCCAUUCACAUUACAAUAUUUCACACAAACACAGACUCAUUCUCUCUGCUAAAAUGCAAUCGGAUUUCACCAUUCAAUCUUUCUUCUUCUCAAAUAAUACCAAUCACAUUUCCAUAAUUCACUUCACAAUAUUCAAAAACUUUCAAUCCUCUUAUUCAAAGAAAAUAACAAACAAAAGAAAAGAGAUAGCACCAAACUUACCCCGGCUCACAACUCUCACAGUCUGGC